UCUCUAGUUCACUCGAACCUCAGGCAGACUCGAUCCUGUGGGUACCCAUUUCAUAGACCGGCAAACUGAGGUUUAUCCACGGUAAAUGACACAGCCCUCUGCUGCUGCUGCUGCUAAGUUCCUCCGAGAGCUCAUCCUCUGUGCCAGAUAGUGAGCUGAACCCUGUGUAUGAUCUCCUAGCCUGCCUGCGACGUGGGGACUAUUACUGCCCCAUCGCGCAGAUGCGCUAAGCUUGGGAGUCUUUAAGUUACUCGGCUUAAGUUCCUUUACAGCAACGGCUGGCAUUAAAGUUCAUGGCCAGGCUCCAGAGCCUGCCCUGGGACACCCUCCCUCGUUGCCAGACCUGGGCGUGGCUGUUCUCCCGAGCGCGCUCCGUGGACGGACACGACGCGAAGAUGCUCAGGAGCACGUUCACUUGUGGAGUUGGUGUGAAGAAUAGUGACCUGGAUGGAUGCCCGACAUGGUCUUGCGUGCUGUAUGGAUGCCACCACCCUGUACCUGUCCUGUGAGCCCUGACCCUGGCUUGAUAUCUGUACCUGCUCUGCAAGCUGGCUCAUGGGAAGAGACCAAGUGUGGGAGAAGAAUGAUAUGUGUAUGGAAAAGGCGGCCAGAACUUCCACCUGAGAACUGUAGCAUGCUCCUUUACCUGGGGAGAAAUCACGUGGAGUCCACGCAGCCCCCUGCUCCCCUCAGCUGGAUCCGCUCCCCCUCCCCUAGGCUCCAUCUGGCCCAUUUGGAACGUGAAUGCAUGGGGUGUACCCUGUUCUUAGGGCUUAGCCUCACUCGAAGACCAUGAGCUCCUGGAGAAGAAUAACCACGUCCACUAUGUCUUUGGUCUUCCCUUUGCGUGUAGGAAAUAUGAACAAAAUUAAACGAAUAGCUGUUUACAUUUGGGAGACAGGUCAGAGUUGAGGAUUACAAGCUCUAGGGCGAAGCUCCUCAUCUCCAACCUGUGAUCUUAGGAAAGUCGUUUCCCGUCCUUGCCUCUGUGGUUCCUCCCUGAACCGGACAUAUUGGCGGGGUGACCUUGCAGGUAUUUUCUAGUAUUUUCUAAGCACGCAUGCUACUGACGCCUGUGGGGUAGACGGCAGCCAAACGAGCGAUGCAGAAGCACCCGGGGAACACGCUCCCAUUUCACAGUGCACUUUAAUUAGCUGUGUGUGCAUGCGUGUGCCCGUGUGUAAAGAACAUGCAUGACGACGGUGGCUGUGACAACGCCGUCACAGAGUGGGGAGUCUACCUUUUUCUCUUUUUUUGGCGGGGGGAGUCUACUUUUGAGAAACUUAGGCAGGGUGCUUCCCAUCACACUACCUGUCCUACCGCGAAUCCUGGCGAGCAUCUGCACACCGACAGGGCUUUGCUUGCCCGUCCAUCAGUCCACGUCCCCACCUGGCUCCCCUCUCAACUCCCAGCCAGCCCGGCCGUGGAGGGAGGGAGCGCGGGAGGCUGCAUCUGAAGCUGUCCGUUACCAGUAGUCUGUUUAGAAGGUGGAUUGCUAAUUGUUUGAUUUUUCUGCCAACAGGAUUCCCUGCAAAUUAGAAUUGUAAUCUCUGUGGGUAUUUCUUGAAUUAAAGGAAAAUAUAUAAUAAAAUAAAUAAAUAUUAGUUGUUUGGUUGUAUAA
Molecule: long non-coding RNA, 1621 nt
Organism: Canis lupus familiaris (dog)
Lineage: Eukaryota; Metazoa; Chordata; Mammalia; Carnivora; Canidae
Exons: 2
Source: RefSeq, a predicted model, not a curated record